GACGAACGCUGGCGGCGUGCCUAAUACAUGCAAGUCGAGCGAAGUUUUUCUGGUGCUUGCACUAGAAAAACUUAGCGGCGAACGGGUGAGUAACACGUAAAGAACCUGCCUCAUAGACUGGGACAACUAUUGGAAACGAUAGCUAAUACCGGAUAACAGUAUUUCUCGCAUGGGAGAUAUUUAAAAGUUGGUUAUGCUAACACUAUGAGAUGGCUUUGCGGUGCAUUAGCUAGUUGGUGGGGUAAAGGCCCACCAAGGCGACGAUGCAUAGCCGACCUGAGAGGGUGAUCGGCCACACUGGGACUGAGACACGGCCCAGACUCCUACGGGAGGCAGCAGUAGGGAGUCUUCCGCAAUGGGCGAAAGCCUGACGGAGCAACGCCGCGUGAGUGAAGAAGGAUUUCGGUUCGUAAAGCUCUGUUGUUAGGGAAGAAUGGAUAUGUAGUAACUAUA
Molecule: ribosomal RNA, 453 nt
Filed under: Gemella morbillorum
Lineage: Bacteria; Bacillati; Bacillota; Bacilli; Caryophanales; Gemellaceae
Description: bacterial SSU rRNA
Rfam family: Bacterial small subunit ribosomal RNA
Source: RNAcentral